This 1592-nucleotide long non-coding RNA is filed under the name Pan troglodytes (chimpanzee). Its description in RNAcentral is "long non-coding RNA NONPTRT008096". The record is from RNAcentral. Lineage: Eukaryota; Metazoa; Chordata; Mammalia; Primates; Hominidae.
CUCAGUCUUGGGCUAUUCGGCCACGUGCCUGCCGGACAUGGGACGCUGGAGGGUCAGCAGCGUGGAGUCCUGGCCUUUUGCGUCCACGGGUGGGAAAUUGGCCAUUGCCACGGCGGGAACUGGGACUCAGGCUGCCUCCCGGCCGUUUCUCAUCAGUCCACUGGACUCGUGGGCGCUCGCACUGGCGCUGAUGUAGUUUCCUGACCUCUGACCCGUAUUGUCUCCAGAUUAAAGGUACGACAUUUGGAGGCCCCAGCGAGAAACGCCACCGGGCGAGAGCCGGGCCCGCUGUGUGCUCCCCCGGAAGGACAGCCAGCUUGUAGGGGGGAGCGCCACCUGAAAAAAAAUUUCCAGGUCCCCAAAGGGUGACCGUCUUCCGGAGGACAGCGGAUCGACUACCAUGUGGGUGCCCACAAAAAUUCCACCUCUGAGUCCUCAACUGCUGACCCCGGGGUCAGGAAAGGUGGAUGCCACCGUGUUCACAGACAGUAGCAGCUUCCUCGAGAAGGGACUACGAAAGGCCGGUGCAGCUGUUACCACGGAGACAGAUGUGUUGUGGGCUUAGGCUUUACCAGCAAACACCUCAGCACAAAAGCCUGAAUUGAUCACCCUCACUCAGGCUCUCCGAUGGGUCUCCCCAACAGGUACAAGAUAUCAUCCUGCCACUUGUUCGAGGAACCCAUCCGAAUCCAAUUCCUGACCAGACAGGGUCCUGCCAUUCGUUCCAGCCAGGAGACCUAGUGUUUGUUAAAAAGUUCAGAGAGAAGGACUCCCUCCUGCUUGGAAGAGACCUCACACCGUCAUCACGAUGCCAACGGCUCUGAAGGUGGAUGGCAUUCCUGCUUGGAUUCAUCACUCCCGCAUCAAAAAGGCCAACAGAGCCCAACUGGAAACAUGGGUCCCCAGGGCUGGGUCAGGCCCCUUAAAACUGCACCUAAGUUGGGUGAAGCCAUUAGAUUAAUUAUUUUUCUUAAUUUUGUAAAACAAUGCAUAGCUUCUGUCAAACUUAUGUAUCUUAAGACUCAAUAUAACCCCCUUGUUAUAACCGAGGAAUCAAUGAUUUGAUUCCCCAAAAACACAAGUGGGGAAUGUAGUGUCCAACCUGGUUUUUACUAACCCUGUUUUUAGACUCUCCCUUUUCCUUUAAUCACCUAGCCUUGUUUCCACCUGAAUUGACUCUCCCUUAGCUAAGAGUGCCAGAUGGACUCCAUCUUGGCUCUUUCACUGGCAGCCCCUUCCUCAAGGACUUAACUUGUGCAAGCUGACUCCCAGCACAUCCAAGAAUGCAAUUAACUGAUAAGAUACUGUGGCAAGCUAUAUCCGCAAUUCCCAGGAAUUCGUCUGAUUGAUAACGCCCAAAGCCCCCGGUCUAUCACCUUGUAAUAGUCUUAAAGCCCCUGCACCUGGAACUAUUAACUUUCCUGUAACCAUUUAUCCUUUUAACUUUUUUGCUUACUUUAUUUCUGUAAAAUUGUUUUAACUAGACCCCCCCUCUCCUUUCUAAACCAAAGUAUAAAAGCAAAUCUAGCCCCUUCUUCAGGGCUGAGAGCAUUUUGAGCAUUAGCCGUCUCUUGGCCACCGGCUAAAUAAAC